Prosopis cineraria is the source of this 409-nucleotide long non-coding RNA. RefSeq lists it as uncharacterized. The record is from RefSeq and is a predicted model, not a curated record. The transcript has 3 exons. Lineage: Eukaryota; Viridiplantae; Streptophyta; Magnoliopsida; Fabales; Fabaceae.
AGAGAGAGUCAAAGAGCAGCUGUAUCGGGGGUCACCGUUGCCGGCCUCCUUCGUCGUCUUCAACGUCGGUGGUUUGUGCGUGUGACAACCGAGAGGGAGAGAGGAGAGCUUCAAUCAUCCAGACCUUCAUUUUUGUUCUCCUCCCCUUCGUCGCUGACGAGAGCAAGUGGUCUUGCUGUGGGUGUUGGUGUUGCUAGAUUUUGGGCUCUUCAUUCGUACGUCGUCUGUGUGUGUGAAACGGAAGACCUUUUGCUGGCAAAGAUUCAUUAGUUGAUGCUGAUUCUACUGCCGACCUCUGAAGGGCAUAUGGCUAUAUUGGAUGGAAAUUUUAUUUGGUAUUGUUACCUCUUGAUGUAAAUAUUUAAGAUUCAUGUAUUUUAGUUUAGAAAUAAGAUUAGUUGCUCCACAU